CCCUUUCUUUCACUGUUCUCUUCAGGAAAUGCGAAUAUAGCUGGGACUAGUCGGGGAAUGGAGUGAUGGCCCGAGAUGGUGUCAUAGUAGUCCUCACUAUUCUGUGAAAUAGUGUGAUAAUAAUUGUAAUAAGAUUGAAUUUGAGUGUGGAUAUUGUCUAGAUGACAAUAUUUGUAUUAAAACUCACAGCAUAUGUUUUGUCGUAUUUUACACGACAGUUGUAUAAUUA
This 229-nucleotide long non-coding RNA is filed under the name Panax ginseng (ginseng). RNAcentral's name for it is "long non-coding RNA (PGIN_LNC004115)". Lineage: Eukaryota; Viridiplantae; Streptophyta; Magnoliopsida; Apiales; Araliaceae. The record is from RNAcentral.